GAUGAACGCUAGCGGCAGGCUUAAUACAUGCAAGUCGUGGGGCAGCAUGGUGUAGCAAUACACUGAUGGCGACCGGCAAACGGGUGCGGAACACGUACGCAACCUUCCUUUAACUGGAGAAUAGCCCGGGGAAACCCGGAUUAAUACUCCGUAACAUUAUGAAGUGGCAUCACUUUAUAAUUAUAGCUCCGGCGGUUGAAGAUGGGCGUGCGUCUGAUUAGGUAGUUGGCGGGGUAACGGCCCACCAAGCCUACGAUCAGUAACUGGUGUGAGAGCACGACCAGUCACACGGGCACUGAGACACGGGCCCGACUCCUACGGGAGGCAGCAGUAAGGAAUAUUGGUCAAUGGACGCAAGUCUGAACCAGCCAUGCCGCGUGGAGGAUGAAGGUCCUCUGGAUUGUAAACUUCUUUUAUUUGGGAAGAAACCCCCGAUUUCUAUUGGGGUUGACGGUACCAGAUGAAUAAGCACCGGCUAACUCCGUGCCAGCAGCCGCGGUAAUACGGAGGGUGCAAGCGUUAUCCGGAUUCACUGGGUUUAAAGGGUGCGUAGGCGGGUUGGUAAGUCCGUGGUGAAAUCUCCAAGCUUAACUUGGAAACUGCCGUGGAUACUAUCA
This 617-nucleotide ribosomal RNA is filed under the name uncultured bacterium. RNAcentral describes it as "bacterial SSU rRNA". It matches the Rfam family "Bacterial small subunit ribosomal RNA", at positions 28 to 638 of the family's 1533-position model. The record is from RNAcentral.